CUACGGGUGGCAGCAGUGGGGAAUAUUGGACAAUGGGCGAAAGCCUGAUCCAGCCAUGCCGCGUGUGUGAAGAAGGCCUUCGGGUUGUAAAGCACUUUCAGUGGGGAAGAAAGCCUUGGGGCUAAUACCCUCGAGGAAGGACAUCACCCACAGAAGAAGCACCGGCUAACUCCGUGCCAGCAGCCGCGGUAAUACGGAGGGUGCGAGCGUUAAUCGGAAUUACUGGGCGUAAAGCGCGCGUAGGCGGUCUGAUAAGCCGGUUGUGAAAGCCCCGGGCUCAACCUGGGAACGGCAUCCGGAACUGUCAGGCUAGAGUGCAGGAGAGGAAGGUAGAAUUCCCGGUGUAGCAGUGAAAUGCGUAGAGAUCGGGAGGAAUACCAGUGGCGAAGGCGGCCUUCUGGACUGACACUGACGCUGAGGUGCGAAAGCGUGGGUAGCAAACAGGAUUAGAUACCCUGGUAGUC
RNAcentral lists this ribosomal RNA (464 nucleotides) under Vreelandella stevensii. RNAcentral describes it as "partial 16S ribosomal RNA". It matches the Rfam family "Bacterial small subunit ribosomal RNA", at positions 339 to 795 of the family's 1533-position model. The record is from RNAcentral. Lineage: Bacteria; Pseudomonadati; Pseudomonadota; Gammaproteobacteria; Oceanospirillales; Halomonadaceae.